GACGAACGCUGGCGGCGUGCCUAAUACAUGCAAGUUGAGCGCUGAAGGUUGGUACUUGUACCAACUGGAUGAGCAGCGCACGGGUGAGUAACGCGUGGGGAAUCUGCCUUUGAGCGGGGGACAACAUUUGGAAACGAAUGCUAAUACCGCAUAAAAACUUUAAACACAAGUUUUAAGUUUGAAAGAUGCAAUUGCAUCACUCAAAGAUGAUCCCGCGUUGUAUUAGCUAGUUGGUGAGGUAAAGGCUCACCAAGGCGAUGAUACAUAGCCGACCUGAGAGGGUGAUCGGCCACAUUGGGACUGAGACACGGCCCAAACUCCUUCGGGAGGCAGCAGUAGGGAAUCUUCGGCAAUGGACGAAAGUCUGACCGAGCAACGCCGCGGGAGUGAACAAGGUUGUCGGAUCGUAAAACUCUGUUGGUAGAGAAGAAAGUGGGUGAGAGUGGAAAGCUCAUCAAGUGACGGUAACUACCCAGAAAGGGACGGCUAACUACGUG
RNAcentral lists this ribosomal RNA (497 nucleotides) under uncultured bacterium. RNAcentral's name for it is "partial 16S ribosomal RNA". It matches the Rfam family "Bacterial small subunit ribosomal RNA", at positions 28 to 507 of the family's 1533-position model. The record is from RNAcentral.